UAGAUUGUAGCUAAGUUUAAGCCCUUCACUUACAUUGAAGUAAUCAUUUUUUAAAAUGCUAUCUAA
This 66-nucleotide transfer RNA is filed under the name Crangon hakodatei. Its description in RNAcentral is "tRNA-Val". The record is from RNAcentral. Lineage: Eukaryota; Metazoa; Arthropoda; Malacostraca; Decapoda; Crangonidae.